This 481-nucleotide ribosomal RNA is filed under the name uncultured soil bacterium. RNAcentral describes it as "bacterial SSU rRNA". It matches the Rfam family "Bacterial small subunit ribosomal RNA", at positions 26 to 522 of the family's 1533-position model. The record is from RNAcentral.
AGGACGAACGCUGGCGGCGUGCUUAACACAUGCAAGUCGAGCGGUAAGGCCUUUCGGGGUACACGAGCGGCGAACGGGUGAGUAACACGUGGGUGAUCUGCCCUGCACUCUGGGAUAAGCUUGGGAAACUGGGUCUAAUACCGGAUAUGACUGCAUGCCGCAUGGUGUGUGGUGGAAAGAUUUAUCGGUGCAGGAUGGGCCCGCGGCCUAUCAGCUUGUUGGUGGGGUAAUGGCCUACCAAGGCGACGACGGGUAGCCGACCUGAGAGGGUGACCGGCCACGACUGGGACUGAGACACGGCCCAGACUCCUACGGGAGGCAGCAGUGGGAAUAUGCACAAUGGGCGAAGCCUGAUGCAGCGACGCCGCGUGAGGGAUGAAGGCCUUCGGUUGUAAACCUCUUUCAGCGAGGACGAAGCGUGAGUGACGGUACCUGACAGAAGAAGCGACCGGACUAACUACGUGCCCAGCCAAGCCCGGUA